This 26645-nucleotide long non-coding RNA is filed under the name Zea mays. RNAcentral describes it as "long non-coding RNA (ZMAY_LNC005355)". Lineage: Eukaryota; Viridiplantae; Streptophyta; Magnoliopsida; Poales; Poaceae. The record is from RNAcentral.
CAGUGAUGCAUGGCCUGAACAAAUGAUAUGAGCAAAUUUGGUAUGUUCUUUCAAGCAUCUUUAUUUCAAAUUUUACUUUUAAUUACAAUCUUCUCACCUAGAGCUAGUUGGCAGUGGCUAUAUUUUGGAGAUAAUGUAGUCAAAGUAUGUUAAGCUAUGUGCCAUAAGCUUAACAUCCACUUGUAGGUUCCAAUGAUUGGCAUUUUUGGAUCAUGUCCCAAGUUAGAUAGUAGAAGAGAAAUAAUGGAUACCUUUGGUUGGUGCUGAAACCAAAGGAGAAUGAGGGACUUAUAGGUUGUAGCGGUUGGUAUGGUUCUUGCAGUACAUUAGGUGCUGAAAAUAUGUGAUUCUAAAGCUAGAGGAGAUGUAGGACAUAUAGGAUGUAGCAGCUGUCACACCCGAAUUUAAGGGGUAAAGCCGGUGCGUCUCAUAUGUGCGCCAAAGAAGAACAACACAUAUAAUGACCAAGUGUAUAGAGAUAAAUGUCACAAAUAUUAUUACACCGCAAAAGUGUCUUACAAAAUAAAUUAUAACAAUAAAGUGAACUAAUAAUUAUUCAUUGGCGCCAUAAAGUUGACUGGGAGACGCCACCUAGACAAGCCCGAACUCCUCAUAGUAGACCUCCUCCUGGGCUACCUGCUCUUCAUAUGUAGGGGGGUUUAUAUAUCGCAAGGGUGAGCUCACAAAAGAUCAUAGCUCAACAAGUUGUGGGGAAUAAUGUGCAUGAACUCACCAAAGGUGAGAGCUCAUGUGAAGUGUAAGGCUUAUCAACAAAUAAUGGUUAAAGUUGAGCAUUGCUUUUAAUAAGUUGGUCAAAUUUUAUUAACAGUUACUAAAUGUAAGUGUAUACCAAACCAGAUUAAUAAUAGAUUAAAAUUAUUAAUAAAACCACAAUGUGAUGCAAAUGACAAAUUGAGUUUAAUUUCAUAAGUUAAUCAUGCGAGAGCCCUGAGCUGCUCAUGACCGCGAGCACGACUAGUAUACCAGUUUUACACUCUGCAGAGGUUGUACCCUUUACCCACAAGUCAUGUUACCCAUCUGCCACGAGGUUGUACGGGCCUCAUACACCUCUACCAAGGAAGCGAGGCGGGGUAACACUACGAGGCCUUUACAAAGUUCCACUAGCUUCAGAAAACCCACUAUAGUUUCUAGGGAGCGCAAUAUAGGAAUCCCCCGUCUGAAAAGCCAUCACAGCAAAAUCAACCCGAGAACCUCACUAUACCGACAACUCCCCUACUGCCCCUUGCCCCUUUUGGGUAAGGUAGACCUCCACUAGCUUUCCUAAUUAGUCAGCCAAGGGCGUCCCAUUCCACCCUUGUGGUGGCACGUUUAUCUCAAGUUAAGCUCCAUGUUCCAAUUAACACAAUAGUCUUAUCAUGAACAGAAUAGAACAACAAUAAUAAAGCAUGAUCAUGAGUAGUAAUUAUCUUAAUACCCAAAGCCACAUAUAGCAAUAGCAGAUACUACCCAAAAAGUUCUAUGGUAAAACAAGGUAUAAAGAUGACCAAACUACGGUGACCUAUUGGGUCCCAUAAAAAUUAAGCCUAAGCAUGCCAAAGUGAUUAUAGAGAACAUUAUUGGAUAAAUGAAAGUGGUCAAGGACACAACUUGCCUUUAACGAGCUGCUGCUCAGUAUUUUCCACCUGCUGAGCACCUGGGUCCUCAGUUGCUUGCCCGUCUACUCGCAACAAUACAAACAAACAUGGUACAGGAGAAAUUAACAUCACACCAAACAUCAGAACAGAAUGCAUGAUAAUAUUCUACGCAUCAUAAUGAGACCACGUGUUUGAGAACCACUAAAUUCAGAGUUACGGUUAACAAGUUGUGAUUUUCCGAAGUUUUAAGUGUUUGAUAUAGGAUAAAUUAAGUGCAUAAUUUUAGUAUAUGAUUCAUUGCAAAACAAAGCUACCAGGUGAUAAACAAUAUUAAUACAAAAUUAAUGCAACUGGAAUGAAUUAAAAAGGAAUUAAAAUGAAUUACACAUGAAUUAAACAAGUUCUAGAAUUAUUUUUAUACUAGAAAAUCACUUUCUUUAUUAUUUUAUCCCAUUUUAUUUCCUAACUGGACUGCGCACAUUAUUCUAGAGUUCUACAGGGGCUACUUUGUAAAAUUUAGGACUCAUGUGUGAUGGUUUUAUAUUUAACCUGGUCUGCGGGUUGAUUUACCAAAACAUUAGGGGCUAUUGUGUAAGACGAGCUGACUGUCACACCCGGCUUUAAGGAACAAAGCCAGGUGCAUCUCAUACAUGCGCCAAGAAGACAACAUAUAUAUGAACAGAGUGUAUAGAGAUAAAUGUCAUAAAACAUCAGAGUAUUUAUUACAUAGCGGAAGACUUAUUACAAAAUAAAAUAAUAAAUAUAAAACGAACUAAGGAUCGUCGGCGCCAAUGUCAACUGAGAAACGCCACCUAGAUCAGAUCAUACUCCUCGCCUUGUGGCUCCUCCUGAACCACAUGUUCUUCUCCUGUUGGGGGGUGUGAGACAGCAAGAGUGAGCUCACAUACGUUCAUCGCUCAACAAGUUGUGGGGAAUAAUGUGACAUGAACUCACCAAAGGUGGGAGUUCAUGUAGUGUAAGGCUGAUCAAUGAAAUAAAGGCUGAAGCUGAGCAUUGCUUUUAGAAGUUGGUCAAAAUUUUAUUAGCAGUUACUAAGUGUAAGUAAAUACCAAACCUUAGAAAUAAUAAAUAAAAGUAAUAAUAAAAUAAUCCCAAAUGCAAUGAUAUGACAGAUUAAGUUUAAGUUCCAUAAAUUAAUCAUGUGAGUGUCCGAGCCGCUCAUGACCGUGAGCACGGCUAGUAUACCAGUUUUACACUCUGCAGAGGUUGCGCAUCUUUACCCACAAGUCGUGUUACCCAUUUGCCACGGAGUUGAUCAGACUCCAUACACCUCUACCGAGGAAGCGAGGCAGGGUACCACUACGAGGCCUUUACAAAGUUCCACUAGCUUCAGACUACCCGCUACAUUUUAUAGGAAGCUCCAGUGCAGGGUUCUUGCCUGACCGCCAUCGCAGCAAAAUCAACCCAAGGACCCCCCUACACUGACCACUCCCCUACUGCCCUUGCCCCUUUCGGGUAAGGCAGCCCUCCACUAGCUUUCCUAGUUAAUCAGCCAAGGGCGUCCCAUUAUACCCUUGUGGUAGCACUGUUUUCCCGGAUGGUUCUCCAUGUUCCCAUUAACAUAAUGAUCUUAUCAUGAAUAGUAAAUAAUAAAUAGAUAAUAAAAAGGUAUGACAAUGAGUGAUAAAUAUCUUUAUACCCAAAGCCACAUAAAGCGAUAGAAUGUACUACCCAAAAAUUUAGUAGUAAAACCAGUGGUGAAACAAGGUAUAAAGAUAGUCAAAAUCUAGGGUAACCUAUUGGGUCCCAUCAGAAUUAACCUAUGCAGAUCAUUAUGAUUAAUAAGAACAUGAAUAGGUAAAAGAAGUGAUCAAGGACACAACUUGCCUUCAACGAGCUCCUGCUCAGCAGUCUCUACUUGCUGAACCUCAGAUUCCAUAGUGGCUUGCUCGUCUAUUCGCAUCAACACAAUACAUACAUAGUAUAGCCAAAAUCAACAUCACACCAAACAUGUAAAUAAAUAUACAGUAAAAUCUAUACAUUAAAAUGAGAUCAUAGGAACUAGAAUCACUAAAUUUGGAGUUAUAGAUUUCAAGUUAUGAAUUUCCUAAGGUUUAAUGUGAUUAAAAUAGGAUUAGAUGAUAAAUUAAUUUUCUAACUGAGUUCAUGUCAAAACAGUGAUACUAAUUGAUAGAGAAUAUUAUUACAAAAUUUUAGAAAUUGAAAUGGUUCAAUUUGGACCAAAAAUGAAAUUUCUAUGAAUUUUACAAGUUUCUAGAUUUGUUUUUGUAUUAAAAAUGAAUUUCUAAUAUUAUUUCUCUGUUUUUAAACGUCUCUGGACUGGGCCUCGAAUUCUAGAAAGCGCAGGGGUUCUGGCGCAAGUUUACCGAGACACAAUGAAUAGUACUCUGAGGACUGCGGGUUGAUUCUAUAAUAUUCCAGGGGCUCUUACGCAAGACUAACAGCCGAAAGGGUAUCGGCUAAUAUCGGCCGUCCGAUUAGAAAUCACGCGUCCAGAUUAAAUCAGCAAACGCGCGAACCGGUACGCCGAGGGAUCCACACGAUCUAAGAUCAACGGUCACCAUUUAAUGAAUGCAGAGGUAAGCGCCUAUCGUCCGAUUCGAGAUCGACGGUGAAAGUAGCCUAGAGGGGGGGUGAAUAGGCUACACCUGAAAAUUUUCACUAAAAACUUCGAAAUAGGUUAAAUUAAAGUUGCACCGGUGCAAACCGGUUCAGUCGAUUUUAAUCACAACUGAACAGGUUUGAACCCACUCAACUUAAAUUUAAUAAUCUAUUGAACAAAUGCGAAGUAGUAAAGAAAAUAGCUAAAGAUUUGCCCUACACAAGAACUACUUGAAUGAAUAAUAUGAACCAACCACCGAAUAUGAAGUGCUUAACAAGAACACACAAGAACACGCGAUAUAACCCGAGGUUCGGCAACCACCACAAAGGUGUCCUACUCCUCGUUGAGGAACCCACAAAGGGCCGGGUCUUUUCCAACCCUAAUCCUCCAAAAGCCGACCACAAAGGUCAAGGCAAUCUCUUCUCAAAUCUGCUCAAGGAGCGGGUGAUACAAACUUCUUGGAGUCGUCCACAGAUUUGGAGACUCCCAAGCAACCUCUAACCGUCAAGGAACACGAGGUUCCAAGAGUAACAAAUCCGCACACGGUUAAGUUUGCAACGAGCUCAAGAACAAGAGAAUGGGAGAAUCGAGAUGAAAUUGACAGCGAGUUCGAUCGAGUUCACCUCACACCAAGGGUCCUUCAAAUGAUUGAAGGAGAUGCGAAUGCGGGUGUGAGAGGUGAAGUGAAUGCUCUUGUUUGAGGGUUGGUCAGCCAAAGAUUCAUGGGAGAGGCAGAAGUAAAUGAGAGAGAGAGUGUGAGGGGGUAUAUAAAGGAUCCCCCAAAAGCUGGCAGCCGUUGGGAGAAAAAGGACAAAAACCGGUUGAACCGGUUUACAAACCGGUUGAACCGGUUUCUGCCAGGGGGAUCCCGGUCCACUGGUCUACUCAGCCGGACACUGGACCGGUUUUAAAACCGGCUGAGUAGGGACAAAAAUCGGCUCAACCGGUUUCUGAAAAAUAUCUGCUGCGACUUUUCUGACAGCUCUGACUGUCAGACAGGUCAGAGCAGAGGUGGCAGGGUGAACAGUACCGAAACCGGUUGAACCGGUUUCAGGACCGGUUGAACCGGUUUUGGGGGCUGAAACCAAACUUGGAGAAUUUUGAAGAGAACAAAGGGAGAGACUUUGUGGGAAGUGAAAUUUGUUUUUUCUCAAGAGCAUUCAUGAUCUGGGAAAAAUGAUCUCAAAGGAGUUUUCAAAAGAAUUGAACUUGGCUCGUUUCACAACUUACUUAACCGUCGCGGAUCCCUCUUAAUUGUACGGCGAUUCCUAUGACUCAAGAAUUAUAAACUUAGCACUGCCGUUGUUUCAGAGCACUUGGAGCACGCCAUUUGAUGUGGAAUUUUAAAUCUGCUGUGCUUUAUACUUUUAUGCUCGUAGGAUCUGUGCUUCCCCUGUCUGUAGAAAUACUGUGUACAUACUAGGAGCAAACUUGUUAGAAUCUUAGUUUGUUUUGUCAUUAAUCACCAAAACCCUGAAUUAGGGUUGAUUGCACUUACAAUCUCCCCCUUUUUGGUGAUUGAUGCCAAAACAAACUAGAAUAGAAAUAAUAAUUAAAAUUUACAAAUACUUGCGAUAUAAAAUCUUUUGUGCAUGUGUAGCUCCCCCUAAAUAUGUGCAUGAGUUUUGCGAUAUUAACAUUGACUUGAUAUGUCAAUUUGCAACAUAUUUAGAGAGAGAGAACAAUCAACACCAUACACAAAAAUGAUGAGAUAUAAAACAUAAUUGAAUAUAAAGAGUAAAAGCACAUUCAAGCUCAUCAUUGCAUAGCAUAUGAUAUGAAAAAGUUCUACAGCUAUUACAUUAAUGAGAGCUCGUCUCAUCACAUCAUCAAGUGUUUAUGGCAUUCAAGCCAUGCAUGCAGCAAAAUAGUUAUUACAGACCAAGUGUUCAUUACAAAAAUAAAGUACAAGAAUAAUAAACGUUCUCCCCCUUUUUGGCACCAAGAACCAAAAAGAGAGAGAGAGAAAAGCGCCAAUCCAAGGAUCACCAGUGGGGAGGAGGAUGAUGAGGAGCGAAGAGGUGUUGCGCCAGGUCGGAGGCAAAGUGUUCCUCUCCAGACUGGGCCGGAGGAGGAGCACUGCCAGACGGGUCCUGGGGCGGAGGGUAAGAGGACGAUUGGCCCGGAUCCCCGUGAUAUGGGGGUGGGUCAAACUGCUCCGGAUCAUCAAAAUAUGUUUCUUCUUCUUCGACGUCAUCGGCAGAUGAAAAAGGUACCCCAUACGCCUGCUGGUACCACUCGUUGACAUCUGGAGGAGGAGGGUGAAGAGGUACAUCAGGAGAGCGAGGGGCGAAGGGAGUACCCAAAGCGGAAGCUUGACGACGAAGGUUGUCGUCGGUCUCCCGCUGACGUCGAGCCACCUCAUGGACAUCUGCAGCAAUAUUUCGGCACAUGGAGAAGAAGGCCGCAAACCCGUGGACCAGGCGGGCACCCAUCCCGCGGCCACGACCUCGACCACGACCACGACCACGUGGUGUGGGAGAUCCGCGGCCAGGGGAAGGGCGCGAGGCACCAGCAGCAGCAGCAGCACCAGCACCGGCAGACGGACCAGCAGAUGUAUGACCACGAGAACUGGAGGGGGCUUUCCUGAGGCGCCCAGCUGGAUUGUUGGGAUCAAUCCAGAAAGGGGUGUAUGACUGAUGUCGGGUGCCUUUCUCAAAUCUGAAUUGGGUCACGACCUCAAUCAUUUUCAUAAUGAAUGGAGCAUGAAGACACCCCUUCAAAGGAAAGCAGGCAGCAUGAAUAAUUUCCUGCCAAAUCAUGUCAAAGACAUUAAUCCUUUCUGAGCUGUUUGGUUUCAUAAAAGAGAGCAAGACUUUGCUCUCCCCAAGGAUGUUCAUCUGAUUUCCCCCUUUUGGAAUGAGGGUCAUCCUGCAGAGGGAGUUGAUAUAACGAUAAUACUUAUGAAUGUUGGUUGACUCCCAAUACUUUCCAGACUCAGACAGAUGAAGGUCCUUGGCUUCAUCUCUUGUGGGCUGCCGGAAAUCAUGAAUCUUGAUCUUGUCUCCAGAUAUAUCCUCGUCAGAAAAGCCAAGAAUGUGAGCAAAUCGACGAUAGCUCACCUUGUACCAACUACCUUCAAUGAAGAAGUUCAGAUAGGGGUAGUUGUAAUGACUCUCCUCGUCAGCAAGCUUUAUCCAGAGAGUGGAGUAGAAUUGUCCAAUCACUUCAUCAUUCCAAUCAUAUUGGAAUGUCAUGAUGUUCUUCAUUUGCUUCCUUUCACAGGCCCUCAGUGCCUGUGACAUUUCUGGGUCCCCAAUCGCUUCACAACCUUCCCAAUUAAUAUAUCGUUGAUGAAGGAUGGGUUGAUGCUUCUUGGGAAGAAUGACGGAGUUAUAGAAAUCCACGUGGUGAAGAGUCCAAAAGCGAUUUCCAUCGAUCCUGGCAUCGCGAAUACGCAAUACAGGAUUUUGGAAACGAAGAUCUUGGAGAAGAGCAGACCCUCCACUGGCCGUGAAGUCAGUGACUGGCUCAUUGCCAGCACGCCGAGCCUCGGCCCGGUGGAGCACCAAGCCGCGAAUCACGGGAGCCUGAGCCGGGGGAAGAUCAACUUCAUCAUCCUUCCCACCAUCAUCAUCACUUGCAGGCUCCCACGCCUGCAGAUUCGUCGCAGGUCGAGACCGACCGGAAGGAGUCCGGGAAGUCCGACCGCGAGCACUUUGAGACCCAGAGGCCUCAGUACCCGGCAUGACAUUGCCGCAUCCGCGCCCUCGCUUGGAUCGAGAGCGAGGUGGGGUAUCACCAUGGAUUUCCUGGUCAUCCGAUGAGUCGGAUUCGACCACUGACGGAUUCCUUCGACGCACCAUUCUAAGAAAUAAGAGAUAGAACCUAUGAUGAGCAAGGAUCAACCACGUUUGAGAAAAAGACGCAUAAGAGAUUGAGCAUGCACUUCAACCGUUCAUAUGAGCGGUUCAACUACAACGAACAAUAUCAAAUCGCUAAUCUCAACAGUGUUUGUGACAAAAUGAAGAUAGUCUAAGUGUUGCAAUCACUUAAACUAAAAUGUACCCAGCGAAUGAUACAUAAGAUAAUCAAGAACGCGUAGGAUCGAGUACAAGGAAAUAACAUAGAACAAUACCUCGAUCCAAAGAUGGGGUCAAGAUCUCCCAACGAGAUGGAGGGAGAUGAUGGAAACACGCCGGGAAGAACGGAUCUCCAACCACACUUCCAAAAUGGGUGAGGGCUCGAGUGAGUUUGGAGAGGAGAGAGGAGAAAAUAAGAUGGCGGCGGCGGCUGAGAAACAAGACUGAGAAGGGGAAGAGGAGAGAGGGAGAGGUAUAAAAAGGAGAAGAGUCGGCCGCCAGAAAACCGAAAACCGGUUCAACCGGUUUCAAAACCGGUUCAACCGGUUUCGGGUCAAACAGCGCAGUAAAAGCGCGCAGAAAACAAUGUUGACUGCGCGAAAAUCGUGGCAGUCUGACAGCACAGACUGCAAAACUGACAGCGCAGACUGCGCAGCUGUCAGCGCAGACUGCGCGCGGACUGACGGCGCGACGGCCAAAACCGGUUCAACCGGUUUUUAUACCGGUUCAACCGGUUUCCACCAGGGAGAAACCGGUUGAGUGGUCUACUCAGCCGGUUUACCCAACCAGAUUUCAAAUAUUGCCCGGAAGGGCUGUAAUAGCACUUAGCAAAUAUGACAUGAGAUAUUUUAAAGAUAAAAAUGAUAUUUCUCAUUUCAUAUUGCUCAAACAAUCAAUUUUCAACCAUCAAAUUUAAUCAAAAUUUUAGUUAUUAAGUCACGUUUCGAGAAUCCAAGAUAUUUAGCUCACUCCUAAGAAAACAAAACCUAGUCUCAUCAAGGGGUUUUGUGAAGAUAUCGGCUAGUUGAUUUUCGGUGCUCACAUGAAAUAGUUCGAUAUCUCCUUUGGCUUCAUGGUCUCUCAAGAAAUGGUGUCUAAUGUCAAUAUGUUUGGUUCUAGAGUGUUGCACCGGAUUGUUUGUAAGUUUUAUGGCACUCUCAUUGUCACAUAAAAGUGGAAUUUUGUUAAACUCACAACCAAAAUCUCUAAGGGUUUGCUUCAUCCAUAGCAACUGUGCACAACAUGCCCCAGCUGCUAUGUAUUCAGCUUCUGCUGUGGAGAGUGCAACACAAUUUUGUUUCUUGGAACUCCAUGACACUAAGGACCGCCCAAGGAAUUGGCAAGUCCCAGUAGUGCUUUUUCGAUCUACUUUGCAACCGGCAUAAUCUGAGUCAGAAUAGCCAAGCAAAUCGAAAAAGGAGCCUUUAGGAUACCAUAAUCCUAGGUUUUGGGUGUGGACUAAGUAUCUUAGAAUUCUCUUAACGGCUACAAGAUGACAGUCUUUAGGAUUUGCUUGAAAACGUGCACACAUACAAACACUCAGCAUUAUAUCAGGCCUAGAUGCACAUAAGUAAAGCAGUGAUCCUAUCAUUGAUCUAUAUAAUUUUUGAUCUACAGGUUUACCUUCCUCAUUUAGGUCGAGAUGUCCAUUUGAUGACAUUGGAGUCUUGGCGUGCUUUGCUUUUUCCAUGCCAAACUUCUUGAGCAUAUCUUGAGUAUAUUUAGUUUGGCAUAGAAAGGUACCUUCCUUGAGUUGUUUGACUUGAAAUCCCAGGAAGUAUUUAAGCUCGCCCAUCAUAGACAUCUCAAACCUGUUCGUCAUUACUUUGCUAAACUCUUCACAAAAUUUUUCAUUAGUACUACCAAAUAUAAUGUCAUCAACAUAUAUUUGGCACACAAAUAAUUCAUUAUCAACUUUUCGAGUAAACAAAGUAGAGUCAGCUUUUCCUAUUGUAAACCCAUUUUUAAUUAAAAAAUCUUUAAGACAGUCAUACCAAGCUCUAGGGGCUUGUUUAAGCCCGUAGAGUGCCUUGUGAAGAAGAUAAACAUGAUUUGGCUUCUUUGAGUCUUCGAAGCCCGGUGGUUGCUCCACAUAUACUCUUUCUUGUAGUGGUCCAUUUAAAAAAGAGCUCUUGACAUCCAUUUGAUAUAGCUUGAAAUCAUGGUUAGUAGCAUAGGCAAUUAAUAUUCUAAUUGAUUCUAACCUUGCUACCGGCGCAUAUGUUUCACCAAAAUCAAGUCCUUCCACUUGAGUAUAGCCUUGGGCAACCAACCUUGCCUUGUUUCUUGUAACAACGCCAUUUUCAUCUUGCUUGUUCCUAAAGACCCAUUUAGUCCCAAUCACAUUUUGUUUGGGUCUUUGGACUAAGGACCAGACUUCAUUCCUAGUGAAGUUGUUCAACUCCUCUUGCAUGGCAAUUAUCCAAUCCGGAUCACCCAAUGCUUCUUCAACCUUAAGUGGCUCAAGAGAGGAAACAACCGAGUAAAAUUCACAAAAAUUAGCUAAACGAGAUCGAGUCGUUACCCCUCUCCUGAUGCUACCCAGGAUGUUGUCCACCGGAUGAUCCCUUUGAAUUGUAUGAUGGACUCUUGGAUGAGGCACUGAUGGAUGUCUUUGUAUUUGCUCUUCCUCAUCAGUUACUUGAUUAGGAGGCACUUCACCAUCAAUAUUUUCUUGUUCAUCUUCUACCACUGUUGGCAUCCUUUGAUGAUUUUCUUCGUGGUUUGGAUGACUUGAGGUUGAUGGGUUUGCUUGGGUGGAGACAUUGUCACUCACCACCCUUGCACCCACAUCAACUACCUCAUUGGUCAUCCACAAGGUUCCUUCUUCAUCAUCCCUUUCUUGAGGUCUCACCUCACCUAUGCCAAGUUUCUUUAUGGCCUCACAAGGUAGUUCUUCAUUUCCUGCAGUGUCAUUAGAAACAUGCCCUUGCGAGCCAUUAGACUCAUCAAAUGUCACGUCUAUCGCUAUUUCAACAAGACCGGUGGAAUUGUUGAAAACACGAUAUCCAUGCGCAUUUGAUGCAUAACCAAGCAAGAAACCCUCGUCCACUCUAGGAGCAAACUUUGAGCUCUUGACUUUCUUGUUAAGAAUAAAACAUUUACAACCGAAUACUCUAAAAUAAUCAACUUUAGGUCUGUUACCAGUGAGAAGCUCAUAAGCAGUCUUUUUGUAGAUCUUAUGAAGAUAGAGGCGGUUGAUUGCAUGACAGGCGGUGUUGACCGCCUCUGCCCAGAAAUUGUCAGGUGUUUUGUAUUCAUCCAACAUGGUUCUUGCAGCUUCAAUUAGAGUCCGGUUCUUUCUUUCCACAACACCAUUUUGUUGUGGAGUGUAAGGCACCGAGAACUCAUGUUUGAUUCCCUCUUCUCCUAAGAAUUCUUCGACACCUGUGUUCUUGAAUUCCGUCCCAUUAUCGCUUCUCACUUUCUUGAUUUUGAGCUCAAAUUCAUUUUGAGCUCUCCUCAUGAAUUUCUUUAAAAUUUCUUGAGUUUCACCUUUGUCACUCAAAAAGAAAACCCAAGUGAAUCGAGAAAAAUCAUCAACAAUAACUAAACCAUACUUACUACCACCAAUGCUAAUGUAGGCCACAGGUCCGAAGAGAUCCAUGUGAAGAAGCUCCAAUGGCCUCUUUGUUGUGACCACAUUCUUUGAUUGAUGUGGGACUCCAUGUUGCUUUCCUGCUUGACAUGCGCCACAAACCCUAUCUUUCUCAAAUACAACAUUUGUUAGUCCAAUGAUGUGAUUAUCCUUUUGAAGUUUGGCCAAAUUUCUCAUACCGACAUGGGCUAGCCGGCGAUGCCAUAGCCAACCCUUGUCGGAUUUUGCCACUAAACAAGUCUCAGGCGUCACUUUACUUGUUGUGAAAUCAACAAGAUAAAGCUUGCCCUUCAAGCGACCGGUAAAGGCAACUGAGGAGUCCUCCCUUCUAAGGAUCUUCACAUCCACAUCCGAAAAUAAGCAAUUAUAACCCAUUCCACAAAGUUGUGAAAUGGACAACAAAUUAUAGCUCAAGGAAUCUACUAAUAAAACAUUUGAGAGUGAUUGUUGGUCAGAGAUAGGAAUUUUACCAAUACCAAUCACCUUACUCUUGCCACUAUCUCCAAACACAAUUUCUUGUGCUUCUUGAGUUAGUUGCAGUGUAUGAAACAUGUCUUUCUCCCCGGUCAUGUGAUUUGUACAUCCACUGUCAAGCACCCAACUUGACCCACCAGAGGAGUAGACCUGCAAAACAAGUUUAGGCUAUACUUUUAGGUACCCAAAUUGAAUUGGGUCCUACAGUGUUAGUUAUAGCCUUGGGUACCCACACACUUCUUUUCAUGACUUUUUGUUUAGUGUAGGCACCGACAUAUUUCACAACCAAUUUCCCUGAAUCCCAAGUCAACAUAUAAUCACAAAGAUAUGAGUGGGAAAUGGGAGCAUUAGAUUUUUGUCCACUUGAGGAUCCCACUUCCUUCAUCUUAUUCUUUGUGGAACUCAAGUUAACCUUUACCUGAGAUGACUUGUCAUUUGAGGAGUGGAUCCUCCCCAAGGCAUCAUAUAGAGUGGUUCCCUCUAUGAACUUGGGGGAUCUCCACCCCUUAUGCACUGUGCUAGGGUUUUCCUUGGAUGAGUUGAACCCAAGCCCCCUUCUACCAUUGUUGGGCUUAAGGGACUUGUACUUGGGUUCAACUUUCUUUAACCCAUCAUUGCUAGAGCAUCUUUUCAAAAUUUCUUUGACCUUCACCUGUGGGCUAUGCUUCCUUGCAUGGUUAGUUAGACAACAAGAAGCAUGAUAUUUGGCACAAUGCUUGCAAGAAUCAUCAUUAGAGCUAGACUUAGAUUCAAAUACUAAAGUGGGGGCAUUGAUGUUCUUGCAAUUUUCAAGUUGCACUUGAAGUUCUUGAUUUUGAACAUUCAAGCUUAACAUGCUUGAUUCAAGUGCAUUCUUUCUAUUUGCAAGGUUAUCAAUAGAGGUUUUCAAGUUAAUUACUUCUUUAUCUUUAUUGUGAAUCAACUCUUGAAGCUCUAGGUUUCUUUCCUUUUCAAGGAUAAGCAAGUCUUCUUGAGCGUCAAGAGUUGCUUUUCUUUUAUCUAGCUUUUCCAUUAGUUUUGUGAUAACAUUGUAUCCAUUUAAGCCAAAUUCUUUAAUCAUUUUAUUUUUCAUGGCAAUUUGAUCAUCAUCAUCAUCAUUUGAAAAAUCAUUGCUAAAUAAAGUUACCUUAUCUCCCUUUGCCAUGAGGCAAGUUGGAGUGUAGGAGUCAUCUUGAAGGUUGGUGAAGAGUUACGCGCUUGAUGUAGAUUGGAUGGCCACAUUUGCCACCACUUCCUCUUCCUCGGAGCUAGAACUCUCAUCAUCGGAGUUCCAUUCUUCACCAAUAUGAGCUUGUCCAUACUUCUUCUUCUUGAAGUAUCCCUUGGCCUUGCCUCCCUUUUUAAACUUGUCCUUCUUGUAUUCCUUCUUGGCUUCUUGUUCCUUCUUGUUAGGACAAUCCGCUAUGAAAUGACUGGUUUGGCCACAUUCAUAGCAUGCCCUCUUCUUUCCUUUCCUUUGGAACUUGUCAUUCUUCCUUACAAAUUUCUUGAAAGUUUUGAUGAACAUAGCUGUGUCUUCAUCACUUGAGCUAUCUUCAUCACUUGAGGUCUCGACCACUUUCUUUGCUUUGUGGUCUUUGCUCUUCUUGAGAUUGUCUUGUUCAUUUGUGAUCAAGGCAUGAGAGUCUCUUGUCUUGAUGGGGGCUUCUUCGGACUCGUGUUGUUGAAUUUUUGCAAAUAAUUGAUGAGGCGUCAUGUCCUCAUAAUCAUCACGAUCCCUUAUCAUCCUUGCAAGACUUUUAUCCUUCUCUUUAUAAGCUCUCAUGAACAAUCUUGUGACCUUGGAGUCACUCCAAUCUUCACUCCCAAGAACUCUUAUUUUGUUGACCAAUACCAUCAAUCGAUCAAAGAGUGAUUGGAGCGACUCACCCUUUGUCCAAUCAUAUCUUGCAAGCUCACUUUCCAAAGUUUCAACUCUAUGUCUUUUAGCUUUGGGAUCUCCUUCAUGUGACAUUCUAAGAAUAUUCCAAAUGUCACGAGCAUCUUCUCUUCCUUGAACCUUCCGGUAUUCUUCCGGACAAAGACUUCCUUUAAUUAUGCUCACUGCUUGAGCAUUUCGAUGAACCUUUUGCAUCAUUUCCGGAGUCAUCUCUUCUCCUUGGGCGGGCUUAUACAUACCUACAUUAACAAUCUCCCAAAGACUAGGAUGCACACCGAUUAAAUGCGACUUCAUCUUGUCGGCCCACUCAUCAUAGUUCAACUCACUAAGAGUUGGUAACUUUCCAAGUGGGGCGGAAGAGAAGUUGGGAAUAUAAUUUCUAGAGUAAUCGAAUUGAACUUUGCUAAAGUCAUUAUCUUUGCUUUUGGUAGAUGAUCCUUCGGUGUUGAGGCUUACCUUGCUCAAUACCUUAGACACCAAAAGAUCCACUAGAUCGUCAUUAUAAUCAAACGUUCCCUUACCUUUAUCUUCUUCGGCCUUUCUUCUUGAUUCCUCUUCUUCGGCCUUUUUCCUAGCAUCUUCCUCUUUCAUUUUGAGGAACAUUUUCUCGGCAAUCUUCAUGGCGAGGUCGAGGACCUUGGGGUCCACUUCCUCACCGGAAGAUGUGACGGGGAUUUCCUCGAGGAGAGGAUCCACAUGGUCCCGUUGUGUAGACAUGAUCGUUUCCUCACGCGGUUAAGCGUAAAACGAGGCACGAAGCUCUGAUACCAAUUGAAAGUAGCCUAGAGGGGGGGUGAAUAGGCUACACCUGAAAAUUUUCACUAAAAAUUUCGAAAUAGGUUAAAUUAAAGUUGCACCGGUGCAAACCGGUUCAGUCGAUUUUAAUCACAACUGAACAGGUUUGAACCCACUCAACUUAAAUUUAAUAAUCUAUUGAACAAAUGCGAAGUAGUAAAGAAAAUAGCUAAAGAUUUGCCCUACACAAGAACUACUUGAAUGAAUAAUAUGAACCAACCACCGAAUAUGAAGUGCUUAACAAGAACACACAAGAACACGAGAUAUAACCCGAGGUUCGGCAACCACCACAAAGGUGUCCUACUCCUCGUUGAGGAACCCACAAAGGGCCGGGUCUUUUCCAACCCUAAUCCUCCACAAGCCGACCACAAAGGUCAAGGCAAUCUCUUCUCAAAUCUGCUCAAGGAGCAGGUGAUACAAACUUCUUGGAGUCGUCCACAGAUUUGGAGACUCCCAAGCAACCUCUAACCGUCAAGGAACACGAGGUUCCAAGAGUAACAAAUCCGCACACGGUUAAGUUUGCAACGAGCUCAAGAACAAGAGAAUGGGAGAAUCGAGAUGAAAUUGACAGCGAGUUCGAUCGAGUUCACCUCACACCAAGGGUCCUUCAAAUGAUUGAAGGAGAUGCGAAUGCGGGUAUGAGAGGUGAAGUGAAUGCUCUUGUUUGAGGGUUGGUCAGCCAAAGAUUCGUGGGAGAGGCAGAAGUAAAUGAGAGAGAGAGUGUGAGGGGGUAUAUAAAGGAUCCCCCAAAAGCUGGCAGCCGUUGGGAGAAAAAGGACAAAAACCGGUUGAACCGGUUUACAAACCGGUUGAACCGGUUUCUGCCAGGGGGAUCCCGGUCCACUGGUCUACUCAGCCGGACACUGGACCGGUUUUAAAACCGGCUGAGUAGGGACAAAAAUCGGCUCAACCGGUUUCUGAAAAAUAUCUGCUGCGACUUUUCUGACAGCUCUGACUGUCAGACAGGUCAGAGCAGAGGUGGCAGGGUGAACAGUACCGAAACCGGUUGAACCGGUUUCAGGACCGGUUGAACCGGUUUUGGGGGCUGAAACCAAACUUGGAGAAUUUUGAAGAGAACAAAGGGAGAGACUUUGUGGGAAGUGAAAUUUGUUUUUUCUCAAGAGCAUUCAUGAUCUGGGAAAAAUGAUCUCAAAGGAGUUUUCAAAAGAAUUGAACUUGGCUCGUUUCACAACUUACUUAACCGUCGCGGAUCCCUCUUAAUUGUACGGCGAUUCCUAUGACUCAAGAAUUAUAAACUUAGCACUGCCGUUGUUUCAGAGCACAUGGAGCACGCCAUUUGAUGUGGAAUUUUAAAUCCGCUGUGCUUUAUACUUUUAUGCUCGUAGGAUCUGUGCUUCCCCUGUCUGUAGAAAUACUGUGUACAUACUAGGAGCAAACUUGUUAGAAUCUUAGUUUGUUUUGUCAUUAAUCACCAAAACCCUGAAUUAGGGUUGAUUGCACUUACAGACGGUCCGAACGAAGGGAGUAUCACUGAUCUAAUCAGAACCAUCAACCCGAGAUCCUACGGUCCACAGUUCUUCUUCUCGCCCUAUUCUACACGACGGAGACGCACAGUCCGCCCACGACGGAGCAUCAUCGGCGGACGCGCAAUUCCACGGCUGGACGCUCCAAACUCAAAAUUGGUCGGUGCCAAACCUAGAGGGGGUGAUGGCGAUUACGGAAAGGGGUUUCUCACCUCAGUUGGUAGCGCGGACAGCCCUGGCCACGGUGAGGUGCGGUACCGCGGCGGAUGUAAGGUUCCGGCGAGCGAUUCACCCGCGCCAGGUCACCCAAGUCACACGAGGAGGCUCCCGAAUCAAGCGGUAUAUCCUGGCGACGGGCUCCGAUCACAACUUGAGGCUAAAACGGCGAUAGGACCAUGAAUCCGUGGCCGCGGCGGCGGGACUACUCUUUCUCUCUCUCGGUGAUAGGGCGGCACUGGAAAUUAGGGGAAACUGUGGAACAGAGAGAGGCAAUGGAUCGUGGCCACGGAUAUAGGGGUGGGCUGAGCCGCAGCUGCAACGGCGUCAGCGAGAUCCCCGGAAGGUGCUCGCCGCGGAUCACGCGACCGCUGUUGACGCAGCCGUGCGAAGGAAGGGGGUGACAGGUGGGGUCCCGAGUUCAGUGAAACGGAGCGCGAGCGGGACAAGCGGCGAUGGCUGCCAGCGGGACCCACACCACAGUGAGCACGCAACAGGGGGUGAGGCUGCCGCACGGACCCAGCUGUCGGCGCACUCGGCCACGGGGCUAAUGGGCUGCACGGGAUGAAUGUCCUGGUGGGCCAAAUGGGGGAUCUGCAGCCCGGUAAGUUCUCCUUUUCUUUUUCUUUUAUUUUUUUCUUUCUAUUUUCUUCAUUUAUAAGGUUUAGUUUGAAUUCGAAUUUAAAUUCGAAUUUGUGCCAAAUUCCUUCUCAUUUAUUUGUGUGAGGUUAACUUACAAUUUUAGAGAUAUAAUUUAGACAUGAUAUAUAUAUUUUAUAUCAUUUCUCUUCUUCCCAUUUUAUAAAACCCUAAUUUUAAUUUAGGGUUUGGUUUAACUUCUAGCAUUUAUUAUCUUAUUAUCCUUAUUAUUUUUAUUUAAUGCACAAACAUGUAAAACUCCAACAUGAUGCACUUUAGUUUAUUUUAGAAUCAUUGGUUUUAAUUAAUCACUCUCAAUUAUAUGGGUGCUCUUUUUAUGAUGCAAAUAAGGCACAUAAAAUUGAGGAUAUCUCUCUAUUGUUCUUUGCAUACAACUUUGAGUAUUACAAAUCCUACCCCCUUAAGAAGAAUCUCGUCCUCGAGAUUUAGGAAGGACUAGGGAAAAGAUGGGGAAAAUCUAUGCGAAGCCCUUCUUCUCUCUCCCAAGUAGCUUCAUCUUCACCAUGGUGACUCCAUUGUACUUUGCACAUCUUUAUCACCUUAUUUCUUGUAACUCGAGUCAAUGUGUCCAGGAUCUUGAUAGGGUACUCAGCAUAGGUCAGAUCAUCUUGAACACUAAGGUCCUCCAUUGGUAACUGCUCCUCAGGUACCCUGAGGCACUUCUUUAGCUGGGACACAUGAAACACAUCAUGUACAUCUGACAGGUGAUCGGGUAGCUUCAGUUGAUAUGCAACUUCUCCCACUCGCUUUAAGAUCAAGAAAGGUCCAAUGAAGCGAGGGGACAACUUUCCUUUAACUUUAAAUCUCCUCAUACCCCGGAGUGGUGACACCUUCAAAUAGACAUGAUCACCCUCCUUAAACUCCAGUAGUCUUCUCCUAUUAUCAGGAUAGCUCUUUUGCCUGGAUUGUGCAAUUCUCAAAUUUUCUCUUAUCAUUCGAACUUGUUCUUCUGCCUCUUGAAUAAGUUCAGGCCCAAAGAACUGUCUUUCUCCAGUUUGAUCCCAAUACAGGGGAGUCCUGCAUUUUCUACCAUACAGAGCUUCGAAUGGUGACAUCUUCAAACUGGCCUGGUAGCUAUUAUUAUAAGAAAACUCAGCAUAGGGUAAGCUCUUUUCCCAACUGCCACCAUGCUUGAGAGCACAAGCUCUUAACAUAUCUUCCAGCACUUGAUUAGUUCUCUCUGUCUGUCCAUCAGUCUGGGGAUGGUAGACUGAGCUAAAAUUCAACCUUGUAUCCAAGCUCUCAUGCAACUUCUUCCAAAAUCGAGAAGUAAACUGCGAUCCUCGAUCAGACACGAUCUUCUUAGGCACACCAUGUAGGCAAACUAUCCGAGUCAUAUAUAAUUCUGCUAGCUUGGCUCCCGUAUAAUUAGUCCUCACAGGUAUAAAAUGAGCGACUUUUGUCAAUCUGUCCACAAUUACCCAAAUAGAGUCAUAUCCUGCUGGGGUGCGGGGUAGUCCAACAAUGAAAUCCAUACCAAUUUCUUCCCAUUUCCACUCAGGUAUCUUCAAUGGGUGCAAUAGUCCAGCUGGUCGUUGAUGUUCGGCCUUGACUCUUUGACAUACAUCACACUUAGCCACAUGAGCAGCCACAUCUCUUUUCAGUCCAUACCACCAAUACUUUUGCUUCAAAUCUUGAUACAUCUUAGUGCUACCAGGGUGGAUAGAAUAAUCAGAAUCAUGGGCUUCUUUCAAUAUAGUCUCACGGAGGCUAUCAAUCUCUGGAACACAUAUCCGAUCUUUGAACCAUAUAGUACCUUGCUCAUCCUCCGUGAAUUCCGGAACUCGACCCUCAGUAAUCAGAUCCUUAAUCUCUUGGAUUUUUGCAUCACCAACCUGACCUUUACGAAUCUCUUGCUCCAAGGUAGGUUCCAAUUCAAUGGUGACUCCUUCCGUGUGUGUAACAAUUCCCAGGUUGAGCCUCUCAAAAUCUUUUGCUAAUUCAUCGGGUAGCUGGACAACAAAAGCGGAGUGAACAUGCUCUUUCCGACUCAAGGCAUCUGCAACCAAAUUUGCCUUGCGUGGGUGAUAGUGAAUCUCCAAAUCAUAAUCCUUAAUGAGCUCCAACCAACGACGUUGCCUAAGGUUGAGAUCCUUCUGAGUGAAUAUAUACUUCAAACUCUUAUGAUCUGUGUAUACUUGGCACUUAGUUCCCAUAAUGUAAUGUCUCCAAAUCUUAAGAGCAUGCACAACUGCUGCCAGCUCUAAAUCAUGAGUGGGGUAGUUCAAUUCAUGUUUUCGCAACUGACGAGACGCAUAGGCGAUCACAUGUCCUUCUUGCAUGAGCACACAUCCAAGUCCUUGGCCACAUGCAUCACAAUAAAUGUCAAAUCCCUUCUGUAGAUCUGGCAUAACCAAUACUGGUGGCGACAUUAGUCUCUCCUUCAAUUGAUCAAAGUUUUCUUGGCAUUUCUCAUCCCACUUGAAUUCUCUUCCUUUCUCCAAAAGCGAGGUCAUAGGCUUGGCAAUUUUAGAGAACCCUUCAAUAAAUCUCCGAUAAUAUCCUGCGAGUCCCAAGAAACUCCGAAUCUCAGUAACUGUAGUGGGCACUCUCCACUCCAUUAUCUCCUUCACUUUAGCAGGAUCCACUGCUAUUCCUCCAUUAGAAAUAAUAUGACCAAGGAAUGGCACCUUGUCAAUCCAAAACUCGCACUUGCUGACUUAGCAUAGAGUUGAUUAUCUCGCAGCUUCUGUAGCACCAACCUUAGAUGUUGUUCAUGAUCACUUUCAUUCUUAGAAUAGAUAAGAAUAUCGUCGAUGAACACCACGACGAAUCUGUCCAAAUACUCCAUAAACACCUUGUUCAUCAAAUUCAUGAAAUAAGCUGGUGCAUUGGUCAAUCCAAAUGACAUAACAGUAAACUCAUAUAAUCCAUAUCGGGUUGAGAAAGCCGUCUUGGGAAUAUCCGAUGGUCUAAUCCUCAUCUGGUGGUAACCGGAUCGGAGAUCAAUCUUCGAGAAUACUCUAGCACCUCGCAUCUGAUCAAAUAAAUCUUCAAUGCGGGGUAACGGAUACUUGUUCUUCACGGUAACAUCAUUAAGGGACCUAUAAUCCACACACAUCUGCUGUGAUCCGUCCUUCUUUUGUACAAAUAGAACCGUUGCUCCCCAAGGUGAAGAACUCAAUCAAAUGUACCCAGCCUCUUGCAACUCUGUUAAGUGCUUCUUGAGUUCUUUUAACUCUUCUAUAGACAUCCUAUAUGUCCAUUUAGAAAUAGGAGCAGUUCCAGGUAAGAGAUCUAUGACAAACUCAACUUCUGUAUCUGGUGGCAUCCCUGGUAACUCCUCUGGAAAGACAUCCGGAAAAUCCUUAACCACACGGAUGUUGUCACCAACAAACUUCCCAUCGACUAAGAAUACCGCUAGUCAAGUGGCGGUAGUUACUGCAAUUCCAACUUCAAAUCUUUCUCCUUUGGAACUGGUGAGUUCUAUGGUUCCUUUAGCACAGUGCAUAAACUGCCUUUGCCUUUCUUAACCAUGACAUACCAAGGAUUACGUCUAUAGUGCUCUCUUCUAACACUAUAGGGGUAGCCCAUCUGGGUUGGAAACAUAGGGUAAGAAAGGAAGAAUUGUAGACGAGGCGAGUAAUUACGAAUCGUGUUACUUUGGGGGAUUUAUUAGCUAAGCAGUUUAAUGUUUUAUCUACCAUAGCUAAUUCAAUACCUUAUAGUGGUACAUGCUAAGAUGCCCAACUAUAAUGUUUCAAUCAAUCAAAGAAGCAAAUCAAGCAUUUAUCAUCAGAACAAUCAAACAACAUUUUUAAAUAUAGAAAAUAGUUUUGUUUUGGUCUUAGGCCUCCUAUCUCUUAAAAAUGUCAUAGGGGUAGGGAUUCCAAGGUGUGAAAUCCAUCUUGUCUCAGAAUAGAAAAGAUAAGAAUGAUUAGAGUAGAACAGUAGAAGGUGAGACAAGAUCAAGAUAUGUGUAGAAAGAAUCAGAGUAAGGUAAGUAUAGAAUGAAUCAGAAUAAGAUAAGUAGGUCCAUUUCUAUCUAGGUUUCGUCCUACAGUCAACAUUUCCUCUGAUACCACUUCUGUCACACCCGGCUUUAAGGAACAAAGCCAGGUGCAUCUCAUACAUGCGCCAAGAAGACAACAUAUAUAUGAACAGAGUGUAUAGAGAUAAAUGUCAUAAAACAUCAGAGUAUUUAUUACAUAGCGGAAGACUUAUUACAAAAUAAAAUAAUAAAUAUAAAACGAACUAAGGAUCGUCGGCGCCAAUGUCAACUGAGAAACGCCACCUAGAUCAGAUCAUACUCCUCGCCUUGUGGCUCCUCCUGAACCACAUGUUCUUCUCCUGUUGGGGGGUGUGAGACAGCAAGAGUGAGCUCACAUACGUUCAUCGCUCAACAAGUUGUGGGGAAUAAUGUGACAUGAACUCACCAAAGGUGGGAGUUCAUGUAGUGUAAGGCUGAUCAAUGAAAUAAAGGCUGAAGCUGAGCAUUGCUUUUAGAAGUUGGUCAAAAUUUUAUUAGCAGUUACUAAGUGUAAGUAAAUACCAAACCUUAGAAAUAAUAAAUAAAAGUAAUAAUAAAAUAAUCCCAAAUGCAAUGAUAUGACAGAUUAAGUUUAAGUUCCAUAAAUUAAUCAUGUGAGUGUCCGAGCCGCUCAUGACCGUGAGCACGGCUAGUAUACCAGUUUUACACUCUGCAGUGGUUGCGCAUCUUUACCCACAAGUCGUGUUACCCAUUUGCCACGGAGUUGAUCAGACUCCAUACACCUCUACCGAGGAAGCGAGGCAGGGUACCACUACGAGGCCUUUACAAAGUUCCACUAGCUUCAGACUACCCGCUACAGUUUAUAGGAAGCUCCAGUGCAGGGUUCUUGCCUGACCGCCAUCGCAGCAAAAUCAACCCAAGGACCCCCCUACACUGACCACUCCCCUACUGCCCUUGCCCCUUUCGGGUAAGGCAGCCCUCCACUAGCUUUCCUAGUUAAUCAGCCAAGGGUGUCCCAUUAUACCCUUGUGGUAGCACUGUUUUCCCGGGUGGUUCUACAUGUUCCCAUUAACAUAAUGAUCUUAUCAUGAAUAGUAAAUAAUAAAUAGAUAAUAAAAAGGUAUGACAAUGAGUGAUAAAUAUCUUUAUACCCAAAGCCACAUAAAGCGAUAGCAUGUACUACCCAAAAAUUUAGUAGUAAGACCAGUGGUGAAACAAGGUAUAAAGAUAGUCAAAAUCUAGGGUAACCUAUUGGGUCCCAUCAGAAUUAACCUAUGCAGAUCAUUAUGAUUAAUAAGAACAUGAAUAGGUAAAAGAAGUGAUCAAGGACACAACUUGCCUUCAACGAGCUCCUGCUCAGCAGUCUCUACUUGCUGAACCUCAGAUUCCACAGUGGCUUGCUCGUCUAUUCGCAUCAACACAAUACAUACAUAGUAUAGCCAAAAUCAACAUCACACCAAACAUGUAAAUAAAUAUACAGUAAAAUCUAUACAUUAAAAUGAGAUCAUAGGAACUGGAAUCACUAAAUUUGGAGUUAUAGAUUUCAAGUUAUGAAUUUCCUAAGGUUUAAUGUGAUUAAAAUAUGAUUAGAUGAUAAAUUAAUUUUCUAACUGAGUUCAUGUCAAAACAGUGAUACUAAUUGAUAGAGAAUAUUAUUACAAAAUUUUAGAAAUUGAAAUGGUUCAAUUUGGACCAAAAAUGAAAUUUCUAUGAAUUUUACAAGUUUCUAGAUUUGUUUUUGUAUUAAAAAUGAAUUUCUAAUAUUAUUUAUCUGUUUUUAAACGUCUCUGGACUGGGCCUCGAAUUCUAGAAAGCGCAGGGGUUCUGGCGCAAGUUUACCGAGACACAAUGAAUAGUACUCUGAGGACUGCGGGUUGAUUCUAUAAUAUUCCAGGGGCUCUUACGCAAGACUAACAGCCGAAAGGGUAUCGGCUAAUAUCGACCGUCCGAUUAGAAAUCACGCGUCCAGAUUAAAUCAGCAAACGCGCGAACCGGUACGCCGAGGGAUCCACACGAUCUAAGAUCAACGGUCACAAUUUAAUGAAUGCAGAGGUAAGCGCCUAUCGUCCGAUUCGAGAUCGACGGUCCGAACGAAGGGAGUAUCACUGAUCUAAUCAGAACCGUCAACCCGAGAUCCUACGGUCCACAGUUCUUCUUCUCGCCCUAUUCUACACGACGGAGACGCACAGUCCGCCCACGGCGGAGCAUCAUCGGCUGGACGCGCAAUUCCACGGCUGGACGCUCCAAACUCAAAAUUGGUCGGUGCCAAACCUAGAGGGGGUGAUGGCGAUUACGGAAAGGGGUUUCUCACCUCAGUUGGUAGCGCGGACAGCCCUGGCCACGGUGAGGUGCGGUACCGCGGCGGAUGUAAGGUUCCGGCGAGCGAUUCACCCGCGCCAGGUCACCCAAGUCACACGAGGGGGCUCCCGAAUCAAGCGGUAUAUCCUGGCGACGGGCUCCGAUCACAACUUGAGGCUAAAACGGCGAUAGGAGCAUGAAUUCGUGGCCGCGGCGGCGGGACUACUCUUUCUCUCUCUCGGUGAUAGGGCGGCACUGGAAAUUAGGGGAAACUGUGGAACGGAGAGAGGCAAUGGAUCGUGGCCACGGAUAUAGGGGUGGGCUGAGCCGCAGCUGCAACGGCGUCAGCGAGAUCCCCGGAAGGUGCUCGCCGCGGAUCACGCGACCGCUGUUGACGCAGCCGUGCGAAGGAAGGGGGUGACAGGUGGGGUCCCGAGUUCAGUGAAACGGAGCGCGAGCGGGACAAGCGGCGAUGGCUGCCAGCGGGACCCACACCACAGUGAGCACGCAACAGGGGGUGAGGCUGCCGCACGGACCCAGCUGUCGGCGCGCUCGGCCACGAGGCUAAUGGGCUGCACGGGAUGAAUGUCCUGGUGGGCCAAAUGGGGGAUCUGCAGCCCGGUAAGUUCUCCUUUUCUUUUUCUUUUAUCUUUUUCUUUCUAUUUUCUUCAUUUCUAAGGUUUAGUUUGAAUUCGAAUUUAAAUUCGAAUUUGUGCCAAAUUCCUUCUCAUUUAUUUGUGUGAGGUUAACUUACAAUUUUAGAGAUAUAAUUUAGACAUGAUAUAUAUAUUUUAUAUCAUUUCUCUUCUUCCCAUUUUAUAAAACCCUAAUUUUAAUUUAGGGUUUGGUUUAACUUCUAGCAUUUAUUAUCUUAUUAUCCUUAUUAUUUUUAUUUAAUGCACAAACAUGUAAAACUCCAACAUGAUGCACUUUAGUUUAUUUUAGAAUCAUUGGUUUUAAUUAAUCACUCUCAAUUAUAUGGGUGCUCUUUUUAUGAUGCAAAUAAGGCACAUAAAAUUGAGGAUAUCUCUCUAUUGUUCUUUGCAUACAACUUUGAGUAUUACACUGACUGAAGGGGUACCAUCGCAUAUAGGCCAUCAAAUCGGACAUGGAUGACCCAGAUUAGAUUGGCGCGUUUAAAUGAUUAGUGUGCUAUGAGAGCCCUCGAAUCAAGGAUCUACGAUCCGAGGCCCACGCAACGCCCUAACCGCCAGCCAACCGAUCAAAGGCCAGAUCAUACAGUCGCAAUGGGGUAGUUUCAUGUGCUAAUCUGAAUCGUCCAACACGAGAUCAACGACUAGGGUUUACGAGAACGUGACCCUUGGAUUCGAUCACAACGGUCCGUGUGUAAUAUAAUCGAAGGGGUAUUCUCUUCUAAUCGUGGUCGUCCCGAGCUAGAUCGAUGGUCAUCCUUGCCCGGUUACCCCACAUCCAACAACGACGGCGCUAGAACAGGGGCACGACAGCGCCCUCAUCGGAGUAGGGCGUCCACCUGAUUCCCGCCGUAAUCCCUCGAUUAACUUGCAGUACACUUCUAUAAGACCAUGGCGAGGAAGUGGGAUGGAUACUCACCAACAGUGAGGAUGCGAGGCGGCAGCACUGCGGCAAGGCAUGGGCGGAAGGCUUGUGCCUGCUCCAAUGAGCAAUCCCAGGCUCCCGGCUUGCUAAUAUUAAAAGGCGCGAGGCACCCAUCUUCCCUCACGACGUCGCGGAGCUGCCCCAGUCUGGAUCGCAGGGUCAAAUCGACGGUUGGACAGAAUCCCCCACACGGUGGCGCUCUGCUCUUUUUCUCACACGACGACGCGCUUGCUGGAGAUUGGAGUUUGCUUCGCUGGCAAUGAAUAGGUCGAGGCAUGACGUUCGGCGCGUCAGGUUAUAGCCCCCCUCCUCCCAACAUUCGCAGAGUUGGUUUGGGUCAACGGUAGCUUGCACGGCAUGAGGAGGAGCUACAGAGCUACGGAGAGUCCGUUGCAGGGAGAUCUACAGCAACCAUGGGCCCACAUGUCAUCGACCCGAGCUGAGAGAAAUAUGCGCUGAGUGGCUGACAAAUUAUCCCCCGCACGUAGAGAACGCGUGAGAGAACAGCGCCAAAGUAGAACGAGUCUGCCCCAUGGGCGCCACCUGCCAGUGAGCGAAAUGGCAACAUGUGGGCGCAGUAAUGUGAGACUGACCGGUGGGCCCCUGUUGUCGGCACCAGUCUGUCGUAGUGGGCUUUCAUGACCGCACGAGGUGGAUAGAUAGGUCGGCUGGGGGGUUUGGCCCAGCACACGUUUCCUUUUCUUUUUUUCUUUUUCUUUUUCUUUUCUGUUUUCUUUUUAUUUAUAGUUUGAGUUCAAAUUUCAAAUUUAAAUUAGCCAAUUUCAAACUUCAGGUUUAAAUUAAAUGCACAACCAAGGAAAUCUAGCAUGAUGCAUAAUUCCAUGUGUUUAUUUAGUAUUUGUUUAAAAGAAUUAUUCCUCAUGAAUAAGUCACAUAAUCAAAAUAGCUCCUUUAUUAUUUCAAAUGACUAGAGUCAUGAGUACUCUAUACUAGGGUUUACAGCAACUGCCUUGGCUGUUGCAGUGUAUUAGAUACUGACUUCUGAUUGAUUUGUUGCAUGUUUGUUUUAACACUAUGCUUCCUUGCAGUACCUCUUUCCAUCUCCUGUCGCUGCCUCUACCAUAUCUACCUGAAGGAACAAAUUUGAGCGCAUCUUUUGUUGACAGUGGCUUUAGUUUGCUAUUGGUGCUCUAGUAAGAAAAAUAGAUGUAUUUUGUUGACGGUGUCUUCACAAUCUAGCACAUGACUCAUGAAAAGCAGUGUUCUGGUACAAACAUUUUGUUGAUAAUGGCUUUAGUUUGUGUUGAUGCUUCAGUUUGCUGAUGAUGAUGCUUGUACUGUUUUUUACUACUUCAGUUUGCUUGACAAACUAUUGUGAAGAUGGAUAAAGUGUGAUGUGAUGAUGGAUGAACUAAUUUACUAUGCUUCAGUUUACUUUGUUUGAUUUUUUCCUGAUUUUUGAAUUAUUGUUUAUAGCAUCAAAUAGCUAUGGAUGAACUAUUUCCUGAUGAUGGAUAAAGUUCUCAUCCAAUCUAGUAGUAUAGAGUUGUUGCUUGCUACGUUUUAGGACUAAAACAGCUUUGGACUAAACCCUUGGUUGCCAAAGGAUGGUAGGGAAAAUCCUCUUAGGAAAUUGAAGUGCCAUUUAAAUCCCCUUGGUAGAUUUUUUCCAUGGGUUUUUUUCCUAUGGCUGCCAAACCAGUCCUUAUAGAACAAAAAGUCCAGGUAUACAUGCAUACAUUUUAACAUUACUAUAUUAGCGACGAUAGUUAUGAAAUGACUGCAUAAU